UAAAAUUAAAAAAUUUGGCGGUAUUUUAGUCUUUUCAGAGGAACCUGUUCUAUAAUUGAUAAUCCACGAUUAAUUGUACUUAUUUUAUAAAUUUAUAUAUCGUCGUAGUUUGAAUAUUUUAAAAGAAUAAUUAAUAUUCAAGAUUUUUUAUAAUAAAAUAAAUCAGAUCAAGGUGUAGUUUAUAAAUAAGAAGAAAUGGGUUACAUUUAAUUUAUUAUUGAAUAAAUUUUUUUAAAAAAAUUUUGAAAUUGGAUUUGAAAGUAAUAUUUUAUAUUUAUUAAUUAUGAUUUAAGCUCUAAAAUAUGUACAUAUUGCCCGUCGCUUUCAUUUUAAAAUGAGAUAAGUCGUAACAAAGUAGAUUUACUGGAAAGUGAAUCUAGAAAA
Molecule: ribosomal RNA, 384 nt
Filed under: Olesterus tuberculosus
Lineage: Eukaryota; Metazoa; Arthropoda; Insecta; Coleoptera; Cleridae
Description: partial 12S ribosomal RNA
Source: RNAcentral